GUGAUUGCAGAUUCCGUGAUCAUCAGAAUCUUUAGAACGCACAUUGCGCCCGCCAGUAUUCUGGCGGGCAUGCCUGUUCGAGCGUCAUUUCAACCCUCAAGCCCCCGGGCUUGGUGUUGGGGCUCGGCCCGUCCCUCGUGGCGCGCCGUCCCCGAAAUCCAGUGGCGGUCACGCUGUACUCCUCUGCGUAGUAAUCCAACCUCGCAACGGGACAAAGCCUGGCCACGCCGUUAAACCCCCCACUUCUGAAGGUUGACCUCGGAUCAGGUAGGAAUACCCGCUAAACUUAAGCAUAUCAAUAAGCGGA
Molecule: unclassified non-coding RNA, 307 nt
Filed under: Fusarium merismoides
Lineage: Eukaryota; Fungi; Ascomycota; Sordariomycetes; Hypocreales; Nectriaceae
Description: sequence contains 5.8S rRNA gene, ITS2
Rfam family: 5.8S ribosomal RNA (bases 1-87)
Source: RNAcentral